GGACAGAUGGGGAGGCUGAGGCCCAGAAGGGGGCUGAGACCACCUCCCAAUUUCCCCAGCGAGGUGGCGCCUGAGCCGCGGCCAGGCCCGGCCUCUUUCCACCCGGCCCUGCUGUGCGCGCGGCAGGUGCUGACCUGGCGAGGCCGGACAGGGGACCAGGUCGGGGUGACCGUCACUGACACCUGGACAGUCCUCGUUGCGUUCGGGGUGGGAGGCCCACGGAUCUUCAGAGGGAGGGCACCAGCAGUGGACUGCGGGACACCCGGAGCGGACUGCAGGAGGACACAGAAGCUAGGCUGAAGCGGGAGGAAGCUGGGAACCCUGUGCGGGGCCACUGCGCACCGGGACUCGUUACUGGUCCCCAAGACUCUGGGAGAAUGGGGAAGAGUGUAUCACAGCCAUUGGGAACUUUCUUCACCCAUCAAAGCCUCAGGGCUGAAGCAUCCUGAACAAGAACUCAGGAGAGUGAAAGAAACAGUUACCUGUCGGCUGCAGCUGGUACCAGCUCCCCACCCUGUACAGAACCCGAAGCGUCCUCUCUCUCCCCAUCACCCAGCACCAGACUCUGCCCCGUGACCUCAGCCUGCACCUGCUUCCUGGCUCCAUCCAGCCUUCCAGCCUCACUAGAUCAUCAUGGGCCAUUGGCCAACACACAGGGCAGUGCCGAGCCCAGGCCGUGGUCACACAUGGCUGGGUUAGUAGCUGAAAACAUUGUUUUUCACUGGCCUCACAGUAAUGGCACCUGCCCCCAUUUUCUGUGAUUGAAUUUUUGGAUCCUGCUACCAGGUUAUGAUAGAUUUUAUGGUAUGUCUCAAGAUGUUGAGAUAAAGGUAA
This 834-nucleotide long non-coding RNA is filed under the name Pongo abelii (Sumatran orangutan). Its description in RNAcentral is "lincRNA". Lineage: Eukaryota; Metazoa; Chordata; Mammalia; Primates; Hominidae. The record is from RNAcentral.